ACACCAUGGUGAGGACAUUGACGUUGUAAAUGUUUAAAACCUUUCCCAAGCCUCGUAUAAAGACUCCCCAUCAUUCUGUAUGAAACUAGUUAUAUCAUUUCUUAGUUU
Molecule: small nucleolar RNA, 108 nt
Organism: Beta vulgaris subsp. vulgaris (sugar beet)
Lineage: Eukaryota; Viridiplantae; Streptophyta; Magnoliopsida; Caryophyllales; Amaranthaceae
Source: RefSeq, a predicted model, not a curated record